ACGCUCGACACCUACGGGAGACAGCAGUGAGAAUAUUGGUCAAUGGACGCAAGUCUGAACCAGCCAUGCCGCGUGCAGGAUGACGGCUCUAUGAGUUGUAAACUGCUUUUGUACGAGGGUAAACGCAGAUACGUGUAUCUGUCUGAAAGUAUCGUACGAAUAAGGAUCGGCUAACUCCGUGCCCGCAGCCGCGGUAAUCUGAGCGGGCUGGCAAGGC
Molecule: ribosomal RNA, 217 nt
Filed under: uncultured bacterium
Lineage: Bacteria
Description: partial 16S ribosomal RNA
Rfam family: Bacterial small subunit ribosomal RNA
Source: RNAcentral